This 442-nucleotide long non-coding RNA is filed under the name Citrus sinensis (sweet orange). Its description in RNAcentral is "long non-coding RNA (CSIN_LNC001774)". Lineage: Eukaryota; Viridiplantae; Streptophyta; Magnoliopsida; Sapindales; Rutaceae. The record is from RNAcentral.
CCACCGACAGCAGCGACCACUGAUUAGAUCUGGAGCGAGAGAAGAUGGAGAAGAAGAUGGGGAGAUAGACGAAGAUGAAGCUGCUGUAAUGUCGGGAAGGCUGAGACGAAGCGAGUUGCUGCUGGAGUGAACAAAAAGAAAAUGAGUUGGAGUUCAUGUGGGAGUGCUGGAGAAGGAGUUGAAAAUAGAAAGGAAAAGGAGUUGAAAGGGAGUGCUGGAACGGCUGGAAUGGAUCUGUGAAAGCGAAGAAGGAAAAUGAUUUGAAAGGGAGUGUUGGAACGGAUCUGUGAAAGCGGGUGGAAGAAGGAAAAGGAUUUAAAAGGGAGUGCUGGAACGAAUCUGUGAAAGCGAGUGGAAGAAGGAAAAUGAUUUGAAAGGGAGUGCUUUUUCACAUGGGGGACAGAUUUCUCUUAGUCACGUGGGGGUGGGGGGAAAGGUGAGA